Molecule: long non-coding RNA, 763 nt
Organism: Sinocyclocheilus grahami
Lineage: Eukaryota; Metazoa; Chordata; Actinopteri; Cypriniformes; Cyprinidae
Exons: 4
Source: RefSeq, a predicted model, not a curated record
UACAGUGGGUACGGAAAGUAGUGCAUGUAAUUUAAAAGUAUUAACCAAAUAGCGUUACAGUAGUUGUAGGUUUUGGUUAACAUUCUUGCAUAGGUUUGAGCGCGCCAAUUUUUUAAAUAAGAAAUGAACAGACAUUGGUUGGUUGUAGUGUUAAUUGUACCGUAUUAAGUUGAUAUCUAACUGAGACAUGAAGCAUUAUUUGAGAAAAAAAAAAGGUAAUUAUCUGUUAACUUUAACAUGAGCUUUUCUUAGAGCUAACAGCAUUCUCUCUUUCCCUGCUAUUCUCUCCUCAGCAUUUUUUCUGCGGUGACCACUGGGGAAUAAAGUUGUUAGCCUUGUGCCACAGCCGCUGACGUUGAAGGGACUAUGACGCUACCAAGCACCCCUCGCUUGAUUGUCCAAGAUGACACAAUGAAGCCGAGGACAUGGAUGCUGUCUUUGGAGGGUCAAGUGGUCAUGGGGCCUCACCCUGACUUUACAACUGGUCUGGCUGCCAUUUUUGCCAGCUACUAUAAUUUCAAUCUGAAAUAUCCUGACGAUGCUUCUUGUACUCUGGAAUUUAUCCAAAGGUGCUCCUUGGGAAUAAAUCCAGAGACAGGCACGAAGUCAAAGAGGCAGAGAGGUCCCAUCAGCCAACAAGUCUGCACACUAAUCAGAAAACUCAAUGAUUUUGAAUGGAUGACAGUCUAGAAUGUAAGCAGUGUUUCGCCAGAACAGACCAACCAAACACUGGCUCGGUGUUAAGUCGCAUGCAGUUAUGCAG